UACGAAGGGGGCUAGCGUUGUUCGGAAUCACUGGGCGGAAAGCGCACGUAGGCGGAUUGUUAAGUCGGGGGUGAAAUCCUGAGGCUCAACCUCAGAACUGCCUCCGAUACUGGCAAUCUCGAGUUCGGAAGAGGUUGGUGGAACAGCUAGUGUAGAGGUGAAAUUCGUAGAUAUUAGCUAGAACACCAGUGGCGAAGGCGGCCAACUGGUCCGACACUGACGCUGAGGUGCGAAAGCGUGGGGAGCAAACAGG
Molecule: ribosomal RNA, 253 nt
Filed under: uncultured bacterium
Lineage: Bacteria
Description: partial 16S ribosomal RNA
Rfam family: Bacterial small subunit ribosomal RNA
Source: RNAcentral